ACCGAGUUUCUCCUACCCUUGUCUAGAGUGACUUUGUGUAUGGGGCGUAGGCCCUAGCUAUUCAAAGCAUUCGCCCUUAUUCAUAGACUUCAGUGCAAUUUGAAUCAUGCAAUUGACAAGUCUUCUUCAACCAAACACCAAUCAUUCAACACCUAAACAAGUGAAGCACCAUUGCACUUUAAUCAUUCCUUCCUAAGUGGAUCAUCAAUCAUACUCUCUUUGGUAUUUAGAUACCCUUUGGAUCAUCA
Molecule: long non-coding RNA, 248 nt
Filed under: Lathyrus oleraceus (garden pea)
Lineage: Eukaryota; Viridiplantae; Streptophyta; Magnoliopsida; Fabales; Fabaceae
Description: Pisum sativum (pea) long non-coding RNA (PSAT_LNC011318)
Source: RNAcentral